UAAGCGAAUGAUUCAAUAGGAGGAGGAUUGGAUUGGGGAUUGAGGACGCGCGAGGGUUUAAAGGAAUCGGAGUGAAGGGACCAUUCGUCGUCUGAGACUUCUAUAAAUUCUCGUUCUCGCUUCAUUUAUACUCCAAUUUGGGAAUUAUGAAACCCUAAAUUUGAUACAGAGUGCACUCGCGAAGAUAGAGGGAAAGGGAGGGAAAAUAUGUCCUCCUCUUCUCUUCGUCUCGAUCCUCGAAUGAAUGGGAUUUUUCACUUUCGAAUCCAAUUCCCCACUGGCCAAACAAGGCCAUAUAUACUAAAAACGGACUGCAAGAAGAUGGGAGGACAUACUUGGAAAUGGUCGGCUGAUCCG
Molecule: long non-coding RNA, 357 nt
Filed under: Olea europaea subsp. europaea
Lineage: Eukaryota; Viridiplantae; Streptophyta; Magnoliopsida; Lamiales; Oleaceae
Source: RNAcentral